CAGCAGCCGCGGGAAUACGAGGGGGGGCAAGCGUUGUUCGGAAUUAUUGGGCGUAAAGGGUGCGUAGGCGGUUCAGCAAGUCUCGUGUGAAAUCUUCGGGCUCAACCCGAAGUCUGCACGGGAAACUACUGGGCUUGAGUAAUGGAGAGGUGAGUGGAAUUUCCGGUGUAGCGGUGAAAUGCGUAGAUAUCGGAAGGAACACCUGUGGCGAAAGCGGCUCACUGGACAUUUACUGACGCUGAUGCACGAAAGCUAGGGGAGCAAACAGGAUUAGAUACCCCUGUAGUCCCUGUCUCUUAUA
Molecule: ribosomal RNA, 301 nt
Filed under: uncultured bacterium
Lineage: Bacteria
Description: partial 16S ribosomal RNA
Rfam family: Bacterial small subunit ribosomal RNA
Source: RNAcentral